GUUUUAAAAAUUAGUGUGUUGUUAAUUAGAGCAUAGAAGUUUAUUAAGUAAUUAACAUGAUACGUUUAUUAAGAAACUUUUGCUUCUUUGGACGUUUAUUGGGAGUUUAAUUUGGUCUUUUUCAUUUGUUUAUACACAGCCCAUGUUUUAUUGAAAGAGCGGAAGCUCUCCAUGGAAGAUCCUUCACAUGAGGUAAAGAGCAAAGAAGAGACAAAUAAAGAGAGAUGAGAAUGGCUGAAUCUACUCGUAUAAGAGCGAACCCCAACAAAGUUCCCGUAUGUUUUCUAAACUUUCCCUUUACAAUGUUAGUUUAUGUUUCUAAUUAGUAACUGAAUAAAGGUGAAUAUGGGAAGGCUAGACAGAGUGAUGUUCCUUACAUUGACAAGAAGAAGUGAGUAAAUGAUACAUCUUAUCUCUAUCUCUUUUGUUGGUUUUAGUAGUUUACUGUGGUUGUGAUUGUUUUGUGGA
This is a long non-coding RNA of Arabidopsis lyrata subsp. lyrata, 468 nucleotides long. RefSeq lists it as uncharacterized. The record is from RefSeq and is a predicted model, not a curated record. The transcript is spliced from 3 exons. NCBI's taxonomy places the organism in Eukaryota, Viridiplantae, Streptophyta, Magnoliopsida, Brassicales, Brassicaceae.